GGAUCUAGAGCCACUUGUUUAGCACCGCACUUGAAAUCGCUGCUAGUGAUAGUAAUGGCUGUCAAUCAAUGAAACACGAUUCACCUUCCUCCAAGAAAAAUUAAUCAUGACAUCGAGGUUCCUCCACAUUCAGAUUUGAUCAUUCCUCCUCCAUGAACGAGAAUUGUUCAAACGCCUCAGCUAGGUUUUUUAGAUCCCUCACUCGC
Molecule: long non-coding RNA, 206 nt
Filed under: Lathyrus oleraceus (garden pea)
Lineage: Eukaryota; Viridiplantae; Streptophyta; Magnoliopsida; Fabales; Fabaceae
Description: Pisum sativum (pea) long non-coding RNA (PSAT_LNC022356)
Source: RNAcentral